CCCACAAGAGCGUCUCCUGUCUCAUUGGGGAGCUGCACCGGUCAACUGGUGGCCUGUACAGGGAGCGCUGAGACCCUCUCUCCCAGAACGCUGAGACCCUCUCUCUGACAGUACAGGGAACGAGACUCUCCUACGGAACAGAGAUGUUAACAGCUCAUAUUUAUUGAAAGAACACACAGAGGAAAGAAAUUGUUCUUAAAGGAUCUACGCUUUAAAAAGGUGUAUUUGCUCCAGAUGUAACUAGAUUUCUUCACUUCUUUCUGCAAAUUUUGAAGCUUUCCUUGCUGGGUAAAGAUUUAUCUUCCUGCCACUUUUCAUGUUGAGAAUUGGUACCAUCACUUCUGAGGAUGCUCAGAGCUUACCAACACAGAGAGUCUUUUUUCUUCAAGAAAUUCUGUGGCAAUGACCAGGUCCUCUCAGAACUCUAGGAAGAUGCCCAUGAACAGUCACCAAUGAAAUGACUGCCACCCUCACGUUCUUGGCAAGCUGCUAUGCUUUGUGGCCUGAAAUAAACAGGCUUUGUUUUUUUCAGUACCAGGAAUUGAACUCAGGACCUUGUGCUUGCCAGACAGGCACUGUGCCACUGAGCUGUAUCCCUAGCCCCUGAAAUAAACUGGAACUAGCUAAUACCAGUCUA
Long non-coding RNA from Cavia porcellus (domestic guinea pig), 637 nucleotides. RefSeq lists it as uncharacterized. The record is from RefSeq and is a predicted model, not a curated record. The transcript has 3 exons. Lineage: Eukaryota; Metazoa; Chordata; Mammalia; Rodentia; Caviidae.